AUGCCCCGCAGGGUGAGGGGUCUGCUUUGCACAGCUCCAGCCCCCUGUAAGAAGUCAGCGCCCCUAUUUGCACUGGGGGUCUUUGCAGGGGGCUCUAAGCCUCAGACCCCCCAGCUCAAGAGACCCCCAAGGCUCCCCCGUGGUGCAGAGGGGGGGGGCUCUCCCCUCCCACCCCAAUACGCAGCCUCCAGCACCCACCAGGGGUUUGCAUCCCGCGGCACCCUACAGGCAGCUGCCCCAGCCCUGGGGCUCUGCCCCCACCUGGAGGUGCCAGGGCUGCCCCCACCCCAUUGUUUUGGGGGAGCGUGUGGGGCAGGGCUGCGCACCCGUGGGUCCUGGUGGGCGCAGAGCACCCGCGUCCCUGACCGCCAGAGGACCCCCAGGGUGGCCGCAGGGACCCGUGGCCACGUGGGGACCACAACAAACCCACAGGGGGGCAGGAGGUGGGGCAGAUGGCCACGCUGCAGGGGGGCGUUGCAAAACCCUUUUGGCUUCCCCCUUCCCCAGCCCCACGCACGGCUGGGGGCAGCCCUACAGGGCCCCCAGAGCCCCUCAGCAGGGGGACAGCCCCCCACGUGGGGUGUCAGGGCAAGGCAGGAAGGCCACGCAGAGCCCCCAGGACCAUAUACAUUUAUAACAGCCCUUUACCAAAAAUCUCUAGAAAGCCCUCCCAUAAAUACCACCAGCGCACACAGCCCCUCUCCACGGGGUAUGCGGGGCCAGGGGAACACCCCCAGGGGGACACCUUCACCCCACACCCCCGUCCCUCUGCUCCCCACGGCUUCCUGGGGAUCGUGGCCCAACAAAACGGGGUGUCACGGGCGGUGGCUGCCCGCUGGUGACCCGACGCACCGUGUCAGCCCUGGUGCGGGGCCAAGGAGGGCAGAGGGGACGCCAGCGCGGCUCUGGGGCACGACACCCCGCAGCCAAGGUCCUCGCGGGGAGCCGGGCGGCAGGACGCACCGCUUCCCCCGGUGCUGCCACCCGGUUAAAGGUCACCCGGUUGGGUUCGGCGCCAGCACGGGGACACCGCGACGGUCCCGGAGAGGGGGUUCCC
Molecule: long non-coding RNA, 1057 nt
Filed under: Anser cygnoides (Swan goose)
Lineage: Eukaryota; Metazoa; Chordata; Aves; Anseriformes; Anatidae
Description: lncRNA (ENSACDG00005011140.1)
Source: RNAcentral